Ectothiorhodospira sp. PHS-1 is the source of this 96-nucleotide non-coding RNA. The record is from Rfam. NCBI's taxonomy places the organism in Bacteria, Pseudomonadati, Pseudomonadota, Gammaproteobacteria, Chromatiales, Ectothiorhodospiraceae.
AGGCUCAGUCCCCGGGCGAGUCAGCACAAGGUGACGAAGCCCAUCAGGUGCAGGGGAUAGGGUAAAUGCGGCGGUUGUGCACUGAAAGUUCAUGUU